This 12468-nucleotide long non-coding RNA is filed under the name Cucumis sativus (cucumber). RNAcentral describes it as "long non-coding RNA (CSAT_LNC000002)". Lineage: Eukaryota; Viridiplantae; Streptophyta; Magnoliopsida; Cucurbitales; Cucurbitaceae. The record is from RNAcentral.
UCCUACGUCCGCAGUCCGCAGGAUUUAUCCGUAGGACCAUCAAAGAAAGGUCCAGGUGAUUUAUCCGUAGGACCAUCCAUAUGGAAGUAGGACUAUCCGUAAUUAACCGAAGUAGCUAUCUCAAAAAGAUAGAGUCGCUACGCUCCAUAUCCAGUUGUUUAAGGCUGUCCGCUACGCUUCAAAUACAAAGGGGUAGAACCGCUACGCUACCCUUCUUUUAUUAAGGUAGAAGCCACCGAUCCGCUACGCUAAGCUGGAAAACAUCAAAGAAAGGCGCAAAGAACAAAGGUCCAGAUGACUAUCCCCCACGGUGCGGUGCAAAGAAUAUUGCGAGGAGUGCAAGUAUGAAUCAGGGGUCCAAUCAAGAAAUUUCUUUCACUCUGACCGCAACUCAUAUUAGAUCUCGCCUCGUGCAACUUCUCGAGUUAUCAUUUAUUGAUCAGAUCAUAUAAUGGCCAUGUUCUGGGGUCCUGGCAUCUUCCAUCGUUCACUCCACACUUGGAUGAAAUCCAUUCUCCGUAUUACCUCUCUUCCUAAUGGUCUCGGCUUUCCUUCAUUUGUGGUCAACCCCUCUUUCUUUUCUGAUUUGAGCACUAUCGCAUCAUUUCCUGGUGUGGUUAGCUGCAGAGGAUCUUUAUCCAAACCAGGGGCGCUUUACUUUACCUGCAGACUGAUUAAGGGCUUAGAUAUUCUCAUUGCUGACCUGACCGUCUCGUCGCUAACAGAUACCAAGAGUAGUUUGUUGGUAAACGUUUCCAUAUCACUUGGAAAAAGUUUGAUAUGUGAUACCGGUUGCUUCGAGUUUGCCAAGAAGUUCUUUGUCACCUGUGAUGGGCAAAAGAUGAACCUCUCACCCGUGUCCCUUGCUUGCUUCGGCUCGAUCAAUUCAGGGAGUCUGUCAGCUUAGCCAACGAUAUGCUGUCUCGUCUCCCCGUCUCACCUUUCGCUUAUAUGGGGCUGGAUACCGUGUACGUUCUCAUACUCCUCCUCUCGAUCCCGGAAAUGGGAGAGAUUGUGGGUAGCUAGAACGAAGCCUCCUGGAACAUCUCCACUACCACUUGAGUGGUGGGUUGGUAGGGGUAACCCUAUGAAUCCCUACUUAUUGGGACAAAUAGUGGAUAUGCUAAGGCGGGAGCUAAAGCCGAAGGAAAUUCGGCUGGCUCCAUCAGAUCUCUUCGGAGGGGAAGGAGCGAAGCAGCUUUACCGUGUUGGAGAGAAAGAGGAAGAAAGAAAGGGAUAAAGUUAUCAUCUAUUUAGUCAAAUAAGAACAUAAGCGAAGGUGCAAAGUUCUAAUGGAUAGUCCGGAGUCCGCAGUGCCAAAGAAAGGUCCAGGUGAUUUAUCCGUAGGACCAUCCAUAUGGAGGGAAGGAGGACUAUCCAUUAGAAGGAUCAAAGAAUAGACCCGUAUUUCUCCGGACCAUAAACCAUAAUCAAACUCUGUUCAUUUCUUUUCCCUGUCCUAGGAGUUCUUCUUUCAUUGCGUUUUCCCGGCUUUUUUGCUUCUAAAUAGGACUUUUUCGACUUUUCUUAUCUAACGAUAAAAGUACUUUUUUGACUGAUUUUUUGUCUUUUCUUGCUACUUUAUAGGCCCAAAACCUAGCAUUUCCCUCCGCGGAUUCAUCUGAAAUCUAGCAGAUUCUUUUUUUUCUUCUUUCAUUAUCGUUAAUGAGCUGUCCUACGUGCCAAAGAAAGGUCCAGGGUCCGGAGGAUUUAUCCGUAGGACUAUCCAUUAGAAGCAGGAUUUAUCCGGAGGACUAUCCAUUAGAAGCAGGAUUUAUCCGGAGGACUAUCCAUUAGAAGGAAGUCGGACUUUCCGUAAUUAACCGAACUUUGCGCCUCAACAUAAAAAGAUAAAGCGAGCUUCCUUCUGGUCUUGUACGUACGGAUGAAAGGGAUGCAUCUUCCCUCGCAUCUCUCGCAGCCCCUUUGCUUUCGUCGCUAGGUUGUGGCUUGGAUCCGUAGCAUAGCAUUCAAAGUUUCAGAAGCAAGACGGGAUUUACCCGAUACCGGUUUGGAAGUGUGAUCAUUGUCUUUAAAUGCAUGAAGAAAGUUCAGAUCGAAAGAACCGAACCAAGACGAGCCCAAGACCCCAGGUGGAAUGUUCCAAACCCCCAUUUGUUAGCUAAAAUGAGAAAUUCAAUGGAUCUACGAAUAUGAAUUCAGCCUUAUCAAUGAUCUUUGCUCCUCAAGAGGAGCCGUAGGUAGGAGUCUUAAAGAGCGGGAGGGGAGCCAUAUUUUCUUCUUAUAUAGUUCAGGACUUGGAUAGGUCUUCCCCGUUCGCAGGUGCGAAGCGGCUAGAGGGGAUUUAUAUGCCCGAUAUUCACCCCUUUACUUACCGAUUUACCGACUUCUAGGAUCAGUUAGCAUAUUCAAAAGUCCUUUUCCAUCAAAUGAGAGGAAAAUGGGAUAAGACAAGGCGGCUAGGCUGAAGGCAAGGAAGUCCAAAAAGACUGAUUUUACGUGCAAACUUCCAGCUAGCAUAGGGCGAAGACUUCCCAUAGUCUAAGCAUUCUGCCCCGUCAGGCUCCCACUCCGCGGUUCCAAGGCCACCUCACCUGGGUUCAUUCUCUGAGAGGGAAAGAAGAAGUUCACCCAUUGAGGAUGCGGGGCAGAGGCAAAGCCGAGACCGAUCCAUAAAAAAAUCAAGCUCCAGAUGAGUUGACGAGGGCUAUUUGCCCGAUGAAGACCUACCUCUUCGGAUUCUUUUCUUCAUUCCUUAUUCAUUCCCACGUAGCGGUAUUUUCAGGAAAGAAUUUGCUCGACCAGUCCGAAGGACGCCUAUUUUUUGGACUUGAUUUAUGGUAUGGGGCUCGUCUUCUUUUUCUUAACUCAUAAAUCUCUCUUAUUCUAAUCCCACUCCACGGGACUCGAAGCAGAAGGAUUCCAAUCCAAAAAAGUUGUUUCAGUUGAAUAGGAAUAAGUACUCCAGAAGAAAGGAGAGACUGCAGAUCGAAAGGAAAGGACGAGGCCCUCGUGCCAAGAUCAGAUGGAUCAAGGCGCGAAGAGCUAAAGUCAGCGAAUAAGAGAAGAGCGUCAGCGGAAGCUAAAGGUUCGAAAGAUUACUAUAUUAGCUCGAGUGUCAGAGGUUCAGAUUAGACCAACCCACGGGACGGAUUUGUACUCGUUGGAUCUUCAAGGCCUUCCCGUAAAAUACCGUCUUGCUCAAAGCGCGUAGUGCCCUUCCCUGCCAAAUGCUUUUACCUUCCAAGAAAUAGGAUAGAGGAUUCGGUAAAGGAAUGAACCCCCCAUUGACUCAAUUUGCUCUAAUCUAAAGUUGAGAGGGAAGAUGGGCCAGGAUAGCAGUCCUUGGUUCUUUCCUUUAGUUGAACCUCGUUGUAGUUGACAGAGUUUAGGAAGAGGCUGAAGGGAAGGUUUCACGGAUAAAGAAGGAGAAAGGUAGGAUACAAGCCGAGUGAAAUCCCACUUUCUUUGCAAGAUCAUGAUAUUCCACUACAAAAGAAAAAAGAAGUGCAAGCGCGUAGUGGGUAGGGGCCUUCGACCAGAAAGGGUAUGGGUGCCCAGUUAAGAACUGCUCCCGUUGUAAGCCUACCAAGAUAAGGAUGCCUUGGCUCGACUGAAAGGAGUCAAUGAACAAGGGAAGAGAACUCCCCAAGACCAGCAUUCUUGGAUCUCUCAUAAGGCCCACGUAGCGGGAGCUCAGCAGCUUGACCAAAGGAUAGAAGGAACUCAACUAGGUUGUAGCAGUUUCGAUCAGAAGCGAGACCUGUCUCAUUGAUAAGGACAUAUGAACCUCUCCUUUCCAUAACCUUUUCCGCCUAUCGAGCCUUUGUCCUCAAAGAAAGGUCCAGGUGACUUCUUUAUCCAUAUGAAUUAGGGGAAGGUAACCGCUUUACCCAUGAGGAGUGAACUAGCCAGAACUAGGAAGGAAGAAAAAGAAGAAGAAGAGCUUUCUCUCAAAUUCUUUGAGCCUUUCCUUUCUAUAGAAUCAAUAUGAAAAUGAAACUUGGUCUUGAGCUCAGAACUCUUUUCAUAGGUUCCCUUGCUAAGAAAAGACUAAGACAGCCCACGGAGCGGUUAUCGCUAUCCCAAUACUGAAAGAGAGAGAGUUGGAAAGGGUACUAGAAAGUAGCUCGACCUCGACUAGUCCCGUAAAGCUGAUUAUUUCUUGAGGGAUAGUAGCCGUCUAACUGAAAGAGGGGAAUCGGCCUAUCCUGUCAAGGUUGAGGGACGGAAGCUGCUCGCCCAGAGCUAUCCCAUCUCGACUAAGCCGCUAUCCGAGAAGAGGUUAUCUAAUCACUAUCCCAAAGGGAGAGGGUAUCUAUUAUAUAGGCUAACCCGACUUCCAAGGAGCGAAGCACGGAGAGGAAAGGAGCCUCAUCAGUCUGUCUCGGAAGCAAGGGAAUGAGAUCUUUCUACAAAGGUAGCAUGAGAAGUUGCAUAAAGCAUGAAGAAAGUAGGCCCCAGGUCGGCCUCUCUUGAGUCAGAGUCGGAGGCAGUGGCAGUUCGACAGGCUCAGCUCAAAGAAUGGAAUGAUCGUGUGGCAGCAGUCGCUCUUGCUUUAGUUGUCUCUGUGGCAGAAGUCGUAGUAGUUGACAGAGUGUAGGAAGUCAAUUGCUUUGAUUCUUGAAAAGCGAUUAUUGAGAAAUAUGGUAUGAACAAGUAGAAAAAAAUCUUUCUCACACUGGUCCGAAGACCUCCCUCCUAAAACUCUCCGGUGGGGCCUUUCUCAUAAAGUAGAAUAAAAAGAGGGGAAGGAAUAUAGUAUGAAUGUAAAGGAAGAAGAAGAAGAAAGCCCACCUUCCAUCUAAUGGAUAGUCCGGAGGACCACGGAGCGGUUCAAAGAAGAUUUUCGAAGGCGCAAAGAAUAUUGCUCGAAAUUUGAUGAGAGUCAUGAUCCCUUUCAUGCAGCUGCUUAAAAAAGCUCAAAGUGAGAAGACAAAGAACAAAGAAUAUUGAGAAUUUGAGAAGGAUUUCCAUACUAGAUGGAGCCAUAGUCGAAUUCGUACCUGGCGGUGGAAGGAAUUCAAUGACUCGACUAAAGAGGAAUUUGCCCUUUGAUUUGAGGCAGUUAGUAGCUUAAUAGUAGGGUUGUAGAGGCCUGGUGGCGGAAGACAGAGCCAAGGUGCAAAGAAUAUUGCGAGCUCUUUGCACUGUGAAAGAACCCUCUUUCUAAAGUCAAGAUCGGAGUGAGCUUACAAUAGAGAGGAGCAAGGCUCGACUAAGCCUACGAAGGAGAGGGCGAGACCACGUAUUAAUUUCAUUGUCUGCAGUUGAUGUCCCACCAGUGGCAGGGAUCUCUUUUUCUAGCUUGGGCAGGCUCUUGCCUUCGUGCUCCUGUUGAGAGGAUGAUGCCUCAUCCGUUCAGAAAUUGAACGAAAUUGAUUCACAUUCAUGAGAAGAAGCAAUAUAAGAGGAUAGGCCCCCAGUAAGAGGAAUCCCCCCAGUUUAUGUCCCCGAAGGAUCUUUCCUUUCCAGGGAUAUCUUGAGCUAGGCCGUGAACCUCAAAAUUCAAGACUUUUGAGAAAUCUCUUAGAAAGGGCACCCAUUGUGCACCUCGGGCACCUUCUCCCCUCGUAGGGCAGUCAAAGAAGAGCCGCAAUAUUCUUUGCACCGCGGAGUGGGUUUGAGAUAGGUUUUCUCUUUCGGGUAAAAGAGAGAGUUCCGGAUUCUGGGGAGACUUUCUGCUGAAUGAUAGUUGGAGUUGCGCGUAGAUGUGCUCCUCUGCAAAAGGCAGGCUAUUCUCAUAUCAGGCCCGGGGGGUUGUACUAAUUACUGUAUUUGCAUCGCCGACGAGGUCCGGCAACGAGGAAAGGAAGGGGCCGUCCCCUCAGCCUCAGGGAAAAAGGGGAGAGAACUAUCCUUCAGUUUCUCCUAUUGAAUCAGGUUUGAAUCCGUACGAAUGAAACCAUGUUACUGACCGCAAUCUAUCAAAUAAGAAAGGCAAAAGCCAGAGAUCAGGACUCUUCGACCAGGGACUAGCCGCUACAUCUCAGAGCUAUUAACUCGCAGAGGUUAUUCCAUAGCAGGUCUCAUCUAUCUAAGUUAAGCAAAGGAAAACGGAGUCAACUGUCCAAAGAGUCCUAAAACCGGCCUCAACCCCUCACAUGAAAGGAGAGGAAAAGUGAGAACGAUUAUGAGAGAAGGAUAAAAGGAAAAAACUUCCAUGAAGCAUGGGUUCAAACCUCAAAACUCCCAGAAAGAUUUAGAUAAAGUCAGAAAGCAUCAAAAUAGAAGUUGCGCUUUCUUCUUAUUUAAUAGAAUGAAUGACUUCCGGAGGUCCGGAGGUCCGACUAUUCACUGGGGAAUGUAAGAGGAUAUGUUCAGGAGCGGACCUCAAUGAACCUCAAUGAUUUUGGAGGGGUAGGACUCGUUUUCAAGAAAGGAUAUAAGUUUGAGUCAUCCGUGUCGGAAGAAGGAAGAAAAAGAUCAUAAUAUCUAAAAGACGUAGAAGCAAAAAUAUCCAUCAGACGAGACCUGUCCUUUUGACCUCUUUCACCCCCGUCCUCCCUCCAAAAUAAUAUGAUGAAUAGUCGCAAUAUUGGGCCUCUGUAGCUUAAUAUGGGAACCUAAUCAAUAUAUAAAGACUUCUUGAAUAUGAAUUCAUCCUCAUCUGGAGCCUCCUUUGUUUUUCUUUAAAGUAAUAGCUAUGAAUAGUCCAAAAACAAAGGUCCGAAGGCGCAAAGAAUAUUGACGAAAAGAAGAAUGAACUCAUUAACGAGAAUGAAAGAAGAAUUAUGAAUCUCCUAGAUUGAAGACGGAGGGUCAAAGAAUAUUGAGAAGAAUAGACCCGUAUUUCUCCGGACCAUAAACUCAAACUAGAACUGAGAAAUGUGAAUUUCGAAAAUCAAAUAGGACAAUGCCUUGCUAUUUCCCGGCUUUUUUGCUUCUAAAUGUGACUUUUUCGACUUAUCUUAUCUAACGAUAAAAGUACUUUUUUGACGGAUUUUUCAUGAUUUCUUGCUACUUUAUAGGCCCAAAACCUAGCAAAAUCUUGUAUUUCCCUCCGCGGAUUCAUCUGAAAUCUAGCUCUGAAAUCUAGCAGAUUCAUAAUUCUUCUUGACUUUUCAAUUCUCGUUAAUGAACUUCUCAACAAGAAAAGAAAGAAUUGAAUAUGGAUAAAGAAGUCCGAAGGACUGAUUGAUGCUACCGCCUUAACUACGGCUACUGCAACAACGGAAAGGGAUGCCUAAUCCUCAGGUCUCGUCUUCAUGAAAGGCGUGUCCUAGUCGAAUGAAAGAAUGCUGGCCUAUCAAAGAAAGAUCUCAUUCUCAAUUCUGAGACCCCUAUUAGUCCCCUAUGUUCCGAGGCUAGUCCUCCCCGUUCUCGAUCGAUUGAUACUGGACGGUGGGUGACCGCCUUAUCCGACCCCUGUACAUUAGUCGAUUUUCAUCCAUCGGUCAAAGUCAAAGAAAACCCAUUCUUCACAGGUUCACCAAAAAGAGAGGCAUUUCACCGCCUCAUCAAUAUUGUGAGAUUCAAAUAAAUUAGGCUUGAUUUGAUAUUGGUCAUUCUCGAGCUUACCACCGAGCGAUCGAAGGACGGAUUCAACCUCUCAUGCCCUAGCCUGCUGUUCCGAUUUCAAUGGCACCUACUUAACGGAUGAACUCAAGAAAGAAGAUUUCCGCUUUCUUUUAUGCAUCGCACCUCUGUUCUCGCUAUGUGCCUAUUUUAGUAGAAUGAAUUCCCUUGAACCAAUAUCCGAAGUUGCAGGCUCCCAUAAGACAGAGAUAUUCUUUGCCUUCCACUAAAAAACUUGUUUAUCCACUAUCGUAGGCCUUCUUCAAUUCAAUGGGGACCCUAGUGUACGAGCCUAAUGCUCUUUAUUUGCUUCUGCCGAUUCCCCGCUUGGAUCAGACAAGGCGGUAGAAGUUUGACGGAUAGUCAAGGAUCCCUCUUUCUGAAAGUAUGUCAAGAGCAUACUUGAGCUCAGAAAGACACACACCAUGCUAUCAUUGAUCUACUGAAAUGCCAAGUCUGGAAAUCUUGUUAAGAAAUGAUGCCCACUACGCGGUUGCGGCUCUUGAGCUGAGCCAGUUUCGAUUCUAGCCGUUCUUGAUUUCGAUAGGGAAUGAAAGGCCUAAUAACCUUGAACUGGUCGAAAGGAUUGAUGUAUUUCCAAGUCAAAAGAGAAAUCACGCUAUUCAAGCUGAUCGAAACUAAGCCAAAGACUUCAACGCGAACAAGAGCGAGGGCCUAUCCGGGAACAACCUGUCCUCCGCUCUCGCAAUAUUCUUUGCUCCUUACUAUUUUUGCGUAUAUACCCUUGUUUUUCUUCCGCGCCUACUCCGAUCAUUCUUUGAGCCUCCGUAGGUCCUCUCUUUCUAGGUCAAUGCAAAUUCAGGCUCAAGAUGAGAUUCUUUCUUUUUCCAUAUUAACUUCUUAAUGGUAUACAAGAAAAGGAUGGUAAAAUAAUGGUAUACAUGGAUGAAAUAAGCCAAAGGCUAGAGGGUCAUGAAUAAGGCGUGAAAUUCCCUACCACUGUGAUCUAGCAACUUCUACUGCAACUAAGACUUAUGAAAGCGACCGCUGCCACAAGAAAAGCUAGGACCCGCCCGCUUCCUCCUGUUUAGCUCUCACCUUUCUCUUCUCUCGACUUCUAAGUCUGAUCAAUUCUCAACUCAUCUGGAGCUUGAUUUUUCAAUUCUGUCGAGGUUAAGGCUUUGCUUCGCUUCCAUCGAUCCGCGCCCUACGAUUGAUCUUACCCUAGCUUACUCCCCUAUUCACUCACACCUUCAGACCUCGGUCCCGAUCUGGUCAAUCCAAUCAAUCCAGUCGAUCCUGAAAGCAUUACAUACUUGAUUCUCCUACUCUCAUUCAGUUACUCUUUGAGUCUCUCAUGAAAGAAUGAAAUACCUUUCCGCCUACCCACCCGGAAGUCAAAACCUAUCUUUAUAGAAGGAGGCGCCAUAAGACAGGUCCGAAGGACUAUCCAUUAGGGGAUUGAGAGAGAACUCAAAUCAAAACCGAUGUGAAUUCAGGCUAAAAUCAAGGCUUUUGACUCCUCGCAAUAUUCUUUGCGCCUGUCUGUCCGAAGGACGGGAUAUUCUUGCUAUUACUUUGAAAACAAUGUAGAUGUAGAAAAGAUUCCACAAAUAUUUACGGGAGAGUAGGUAGGUCGGAAGGGGGAAUCUCAGCUCCCUCAAGAGGAAAGGAAUCGUCCGAGGCAGUGGAAGUCUACCUUUCAUCAUCAGAGGCAGAAGUGGUCAGUCGUAGUUGUAGUUCUUCUUUCAGUUGCUUUAGUUCUUCCAGGAGAAGUAGCUUAGUAGUUCGAUCGAUCGGGUGCGGUUAUCAGAAGCUCUCCUGUAGCCGCUCGACUUGAGAGGGUCCCUCUCUCUCCUAUUCACACCGCCUCAAUGGAUCUCUCUUUCUCCGCAACUAAUAUUUCAUUGAGCCUCUCUCAAAUUCUUUGAGCCUUCCGAAAGCAAGAUAAAAGAUAGGAGAGUUGGACAAAGCAAGAACUCAGAUAGAGGAAGAAGACAAAUUAUCCGUUAGAGGAAUGAUCCGUAGAAAGAUUAUCAGCUAGGGAACGGAAAGAGUUGGAGUCUGUAUUCUCUGGAUCGGGUAGAAUCUCCAUUCAGUCCCGUAAAGUAAAGCUGCUGAUUAAGUAAGAAAGGCCGAGUUCCAUAUGAGGGUAGACCGAGUUGGAGCCCUUGCUCCUCUUCCUGUGUGAGGAAGGUUGCCCUUGUUUUGUUCAUUGAGGCGGUUCUUGCUGCUAUAAUAAUAAGAUCAGACUUCUCUUCUUCGAUCGGUAAGCUCCUUAUUCAUGAAAAGGCGGAUUUCUCUUUUUUCUCUAUUUGGGCAAUGCUUCUUGUUAAAGACUCUUUUGUGACUCUGAAAUCAAGGGGUCGAUGAAAUUGACGGAUUGAGCCCACUCCGCGGGAAGAACUUAUCCACGAUCUUACAAUAGACCUGUCAGUAUCCGGACCAUAAACUCAAACUAGAAGUCUGAAUUUCUUUUACCUGUCCUAGGCUUGAUUCUUUCAUUGCAAUUUCCCGGCUUUUUUGCUUCUAAAUGUGACUUUUUUGAAGAUUGAUAUUUAACGAUAAUUGAGUGAAAAAGAAGGCAUUUGACUUGAUUUCUUGCUACUUCCCUAUGGGCAAAACCUAGCAAAAUCAUGUAUUUCCCUCCGUAAAAACAAGGUUAUUCAAUCUGAAUUAUUCUUUCAUUCUCGUGUAUUCUUUCAUUCUCGUGAAUGAGCUUCUUUCACUUUCAGCAAUGAGUCCUUCGGCUAGGCGCAAAGUUCGGUUAAUUACGGAAAGUCCUCCGGAUAAAUCCUCCGGACAGGUGACGGGGGAGAGGAGCAAAAAUAGUAAGGAGUCUUAAGUCCAGAGGCUCCAUAAGACAGGGAUAUUGUGAGAAGGACUUUAUCAAGCUUAACUUCUUUUCUCUUGUUCAAGCAAAAGCUUAGAUUGUGAAUUCACUCAUAUAAUAUCGUUGAUGAUAGAAUCUCCAAACAAAGCAAACUCACUCACGAAAAGUGGACAUCAUAAAGUGGAAGAGGGACUCAGUUUCUCGACCAGGACUAAGUUGCUCGCCCAAUGGCCUGGUAUCCUUAUGUUUAGGUUGUCCCAUCCCUUUCUCUUGCACCAGUCGCAGUGGUUGAAACCAGAGUUCUUGAACUAGAUUUCGUUCUUGUAUCCUCCCCGCUUUCUCUUUCAUCUGGGAACGACGAAGAUAACGAAGGCACAUCAUGAGAAAGAUCGGAGGCUCAAUUCACAUCCAUAAAUAAAGGGGUCUUGUGCGAGGCGGCUAUUCACUCUCUCCAUUCCCAACUUGAAAAAGAAGGUAUUGAGAAGAAAGCCUAGGAUGAAAACCGUCCAUGAAGGAGCGCCCGCCGUGCAAUCAGAAGACAGAUCGGAAGUUAGCAGCUCCUCCUCACACAGAGGUGGGCGGCAGUUCGACCAGCAGUGCUUAUCCUUUAGUCCUUGUCUCUGUGGCAGAAGUCGUUCUUUCUUUUCUUGUACAUGUAGUAGAAAGAGUGUCGGAACUAGUCAUUAAAUGGUCGGCGAUUAUGAGAUUCGAAUGUAUGAACGAUCAAUGAAGAAGGCGCAAAGAAUAUUGCGGAACCGUAAAUGAGCCCUUUUUUUUGCCUCUCGCCCACGGAUGAAACCCAAAGAGACAAGGCCUUUUAUUGUAAUUGUACAUCUUUUACGCAAGGAGACUAGGUUCACGAAGUCGACCGCCUACUCAUUUCAUUUGGAAGAAGAAGAAAGUCAAAAGAAGAAUGAGUCCGACGCCUAAGGCGACCUUGUAUUUCUGCUUUUGCACUUUCACAGGUUUUUCUGCUUAGUUGCCCUCAGGGCUGACUCUGGAUGGAAUGUCCUAAGGUUAGCCCUAGAUCUUAUUGACUUGGUAGGGACAAGUGGAGUGAGAGGAUGAAACUGAAGAAGACCUGGAUCAAGUAAAUGAGCCCUCUCUUUCUUAGUAUGUGGUCGAGUCAACUCAUCUGGAGCUUUUAUUGAGUACAAAACGACUGAGAGUUCCAAGAGCAUCUGCAGGUCGAGCGAGCGGAUCCAGUGUGCGUCCUCUUCAUCUCUGGUCUUUCCUUUCUGGUGGAGCACCCUUUUCGCUUACUCUGUGAUGUAAGAAGAAUUCCAUGAAAGCAUACUCACUGUACCGCGCCCAACUUGGCUAGUUCGAGAUCAGAGAAUACCGCUUCUCCUUUUGCUAGCUACUUCCCUCCUUCUCCCCUCGUCGACUAGCUCUACCCUUCCCCGCUCCGUGGGCUUGGGCUGCCGAAAGAGACUUAAAGAGCAGUCCGAAACAUUGUAAACUCUAUCUCUCCUUCCUUCCGUUGUCAAUUUUGAACCUUGACUUUCCCUAUGAUCAUAGAGUGAAUUGGGGAUUGAUUUCAGAAAAGAUAGUGAUAAUGGAGUUGCCCGACUAGGUCGAGCUAUGAAAACCUCUUGACUUCGGCUAGCCCUCUUUUUAGAUAUUAUGUUCAGUUACAGGGAAAGGCUGAUAAGGGCAACUUCUCAUUCUUAUCCGAGCCCUAUCUCCUCUUAUCAAAUCUCUUUCCUUAUUCACAUUAAGAAAGGGAAAGAAUUAGUUAGUUAUGAAGACCGAUCCUUCUCAUUCUUACGGGUAUAGGAAGUUGAAAGUUCCUCAUAUCCUUUAUUCUUCAGAUUUGCACUGGGGAUACGAAUAUGGUACAGCCACAAGAAAAGCUAAUUCGGGGACAAGGCCAGCUACUUCAACGGAUGAAACUUCCGAAGCUGCAACAUCCACUGAUUCAGCCACUCUCGUGCGCGCGGUCUUCCCUAACUCCUCCCCGGUAUCGCGUCCCAAUUCCUACUAUUCCUUGCGGGUCAAGAUGAGAUUCUUUCUUUUCUGGCCUUAGGCCCAAUGAAAUAUGCCUUGCGUCCCACUAUUUAAUGAUUUUGGAGGUGCAAAGCUCAAAUACUUUGAUCCUUAUCAAUGAUCUUUGCUCGUCCUUCGUAGCUUAAUAAUGGAUAAAGAAGUCCUUCGGACAGAUCCAUUGACAAGAAAGCGCAACUUCUAUUUUG